RNAcentral lists this ribosomal RNA (452 nucleotides) under uncultured bacterium. Its description in RNAcentral is "bacterial SSU rRNA". It matches the Rfam family "Bacterial small subunit ribosomal RNA", at positions 466 to 916 of the family's 1533-position model. The record is from RNAcentral.
GGGCUGACGGUACCUGAGGAAUAAGCACCGGCUAACUUCGUGCCAGCAGCCGCGGUAAUACGAAGGGUGCAAGUGUUAAUCGGAAUUACUGGGCGUAAAGGGUGCGUAGGCGGUUGUUUAAGUCUGCCGUGAAAUCCCCGGGCUCAACCUGGGAAUGGCGGUGGAUACUGGGCAGCUAGAGUGUGUCAGAGGAUGGUGGAAUUCCCGGUGUAGCGGUGAAAUGCGUAGAGAUCGGGAGGAACAUCAGUGGCGAAGGCGGCCAUCUGGGACAACACUGACGCUGAAGCACGAAAGCGUGGGGAGCAAACAGGAUUAGAUACCCUGGUAGUCCACGCCCUAAACGAUGCGAACUGGAUGUUGGUUUCAACUCGGAGAUCAGUGUCGAAGCUAACGCGUUAAGUUCGCCGCCUGGGGAGUACGGUCGCAAGACUGAAACUCAAAGGAAUUGACGG